GACGAACGCUGGCGGCGUGCUUAACACAUGCAAGUCGAACGGAAAGGCCCUGCUUUUGUGGGGUGCUCGAGUGGCGAACGGGUGAGUAACACGUGAGUAACCUGCCCUUGACUUUGGGAUAACUUCAGGAAACUGGGGCUAAUACCGGAUAGGAGCUCCUGCUGCAUGGUGGGGGUUGGAAAGUUUCGGCGGUUGGGGAUGGACUCGCGGCUUAUCAGCUUGUUGGUGGGGUAGUGGCUUACCAAGGCUUUGACGGGUAGCCGGCCUGAGAGGGUGACCGGCCACAUUGGGACUGAGAUACGGCCCAGACUCCUACGGGGGGCAGCAGUGGGAAUAUUGCACAAUGGGCGGAAGCCUGAUGCAGCAACGCCGCGUGCGGGAUGACGGCCUUCGGGUUGUAAACCGCUUUCGCCUGUGACGAAGCGUGAGUGACGGUAAUGGGUAAAGAAGCACCGGCUAACUACGUG
RNAcentral lists this ribosomal RNA (467 nucleotides) under uncultured bacterium. RNAcentral's name for it is "partial 16S ribosomal RNA". It matches the Rfam family "Bacterial small subunit ribosomal RNA", at positions 28 to 507 of the family's 1533-position model. The record is from RNAcentral.